UGCUGAUGUCUUCCUCCAGAGCAGAGCCCAUGCAUGUGUUCAUCUGCUCAGAUACUUAAAGAAGUCUUCUUCUGUCUUCCUACUACAGGGCCAUGCAUCCAUUCAUUUGGCUGGAUACUAAGGACAGGGCCAUGCUUCUGUUCAUCUACUGGGACACUAAGGAAUCUGCAAGGAAUCUAUUCAUCAGCUUGGAUACUAAGACAGAGCCAUGCAUCUAGUCAUCUUCUUGGAUACUAAGGAAAGGCUGCUUCUGUCUUUGUGCAAGACAGGGCUAUGCAUCUGUUCAAGUGGUGGGAUAAUAAGAGGAGAGAUCCGUAUAUCUUUUCACCUGUUGGGAUACUAAGAUAAGUCUGUUUGCCUUCCUACACAAUGGGGACAUGCAUCUAUUCAUCUGCUCAGACACUAAGAAUGGGGCCAUGCAUCUGUUCAUCUUCUCAUAUACUAAAAUCAUGCAUCUGUUCAUCUGCCUGAAUACUAGGGACAGGGCCAUGCAUCUGUUCAUCUUCUUAUAUACUAAGGACAGAUCCACACACUUCAUCUGCUUGGACACCAUGAAAGUCUCCUUCUGUCUACCUACAGGACACAGCCAUGAAUCUAUUCAUCAGCUCAGAUACCAAGGACCUUGUGCUUUCAAGGUAGGCAAAGCACCACUGAGCUACCUUCCCACCUGCUGAUGUCUUCCUGCAAGACAGGGUCAUGCAUUUGGUCAUCUUCUCAGAUACUAAGGUAAGGCUGCUCCUGUCAUCAUACAAGACAGGGCCGUGCAUCUGUUCAUGUGCUGGGAUACUAAGGUAAGUCUA
RNAcentral lists this long non-coding RNA (800 nucleotides) under Heterocephalus glaber (naked mole-rat). RNAcentral describes it as "lncRNA (ENSHGLG00000027922.2)". Lineage: Eukaryota; Metazoa; Chordata; Mammalia; Rodentia; Bathyergidae. The record is from RNAcentral.